UACAUGUGUUAUUAGUACUAUUAACAUUAUGAUUGUUGUUGCUAUUCUACAGCCACAAGAAAGGGUGUAUAAAAGUAAAAAAGCUAUUUAGCUAAGUUCAGUAAAGCAUCACGGUUGUACCAUCAUCAUCAUUGAGCUGGUGGUGGUGGUGGUGGGCGUGUACGAGCACUUCGCUGCUAGCUAACGUUGCACUGAUCAAUAACGUUAGUGACUACAGUAAGCAACAUCUUCUCCUCUGGCUUCUUCUUGUUAGCACAGACUCUUGCUGAGGUUAACGCGAAUUCAACCCGUUUUGCGAGUCCUCAACGUCACAGAGACUAGCAUCAUGAGCUAGCUAGUUCAUCUUGAAGUUACCAACAGCGGAGACAGACACGAGAGAGAGAGACAGCGACUUUACCGUACCACGGUGAUUCAGCGUGCUGCUGCUAGCUAGAGAGAACAAUCCCCCCAAAGCCUCAACACCCACAACGUUCAACAUUCAUUGAUGUUAACCUCCAUCAUUUGAUGUCUAUCGUUCUCGGAUCUCGCCAGUGUUCUAUAUUCAUUGCUGGGUUUCCAUCCACCAACAUGUAUGGGAUGUCGGGAUGACAGGAAGAUGGCAAACGGGGUUGGAAAACACAAGCUACUUGUCAUUGGACCAACAGAGCCAUGGUCAGUGAGGGAGAAGCUGUGUUUGGCCACAUCUGUCAUGAAGAGUGGAGACCAGAACUGGGUAUCUGUCAGUCGAGCCAUCAAACCAUUUGCAGAACCCGGGAGACCACCUGACUGGUUCUCUCAAAAGCACUGUGCCUCCAAGUACUCUGAGCUCCUGGAAACAACAGAGGCCCCGAAGCGGAAGCGUGGUGAGAGAGGAGAGGUGGUGGAGACGGUGGAGGACGUGAUAGUACGCAGGCUGACAGCUGACAGGAUCGAUGCACUAAAGAAGUUGAUCAAAGAAACACAGGAGAAGCACAGGAAGCUGAAGAGAGAGGCUGAACUGAUUCAAGCAGGACGUCUAGAUUCCAAACUACAAGAAUUAUGGGAAGACAUUCUGCAGAAGAAGAAACUGGAGGAGGAGGAAGAAGAGUCGAAAAGAAAAAACACAAAUGCUGCUUAUCAGGCCAGACAGGUGGCAAAGAAUGCACCAAAGCGAGUUCCUGGCAUUACCAUGCAUUCGCCCUCAGGCUGUAGCUCCCCGAGCCAGGAGUUCUCACCAGGGGACCCACUCGAGUGCUUGACACUGGAUCUCACAUCGACAAAGAAUGCUUCAGGAUCAGCCAGAUUAAUGACAAUUGCGGAGUCCUCUGGACCCGAUAAUGAUGACAUAAGCCACGGGUCACUCCUGGACGACCCCAACCAAAAGAAGCUCCUGAGCCAGAAAGCUACGCCGCCACCAUCUCCGCUCCUGUCAGAGUUACUGAAGAAAGGCAAUAUCUUGGCCACAAAUUCCAGACUGAUUGGGGAGGGUGACGGGACCACUGGUAAUAUGACAGGAGCACAUGACUUGCAGCUGGCUCCGCCUAGCCAACCUCUCUCUCAGGCAACAGGUGCCCCGAUGUUGUCUCGUCUUCUGGAGGCGGGUCCCUCCCAGUUCUCUGCCCCGUUAGGUUUCAUGGUCAGUGCAGACUCGGCCUCCAGCGCUCCUCUCUCUGCUGCCACUCCUGUGCCUGUUGACUCUACUGCGUCAGCAAGUACAGAGGUGGAUGUGAUGGUGCCGUCCGGAUGCCAGCCUGUUUCUGCAGAGGAUAAGGUGUCAGAGCUCAGUGAGGAGGACGUGACUGUGUCCUACAUGGGGGAUGAGCUGGACCUGAAGACGGUGGGAGACAUUAUCGCCAUUAUUGAGGACAAGGCAGAUGAGACUGCAGAGGCAUUGGAUGCAGCUGCAGUUGAGGCUGCGCUGUCACUGUGUGAGGAGAACGGCCAUGCUCUGUCCGGUGCCUGGGAGGCUGGGCCUUUCCAGCCCCAUGAGCCUCACCCCACUGUGCCCACGGGGGUCCCACAGUCCUCGUCUCUCCACAGUAGCCUGGAGGGGAAGACAGAAGCGUCAGAAGUUCAGGGUGGGACUUCAGCUUCACUCUCCUCUCUGUGCAACAGUCAGGAUAACGGUCUCACAGCAUUCCCCAUGAGACCGAGGGGCAUUCCUCCCACCUCCUCAUCCUCACGCUCCUCAAAGAGUUUGGAGCACUGCCACACCAGAGCACCUCCACAGCCUGAGGCGAUGAGGGAGACUGGACGGUCUGCGUACCAGAAAAGCCAAAUUCCAUUGGUUGUCACUAUAAAAUGUGAGCGUGAGAAGUGGGCACAGCAAAGACGUGAAGGACCCCAUGGAGACUCAGUAUUAGAAGAUAGCCCACUGACAGAAAGGCAUCCCAAGGAGAUGAAAGCGGAGGAUGGGAUAAGUGUCGGGGGAGGAGAGGAUGCCUCAGGGACUAAAGUGUACAAUGAGCUCAACGGACCAGAAGUGUGCGGAGAAGAAGAGGCCGACGGGGCGGAGGGAUUCUCGUCAGAGCCAGACGGCGAGAUGGAGCUAGAGCCCGCGGCCAGCGAGAGCGAGGAUGGGUACAGCCUCCGCACGGCCUCCUCGUCUCUGCAGCUUAACACGACCGCAGACUCCAUCCCCAGCAGCCCCGCCUCAUCGCAGUUUUCUUUGUGCAGUGAGGACCUGGAAGCUCUACAGGCUCACAAGAUCUGGAAGAAAGCCAUUAUGCUGGUGUGGCGUGCAGCGGCCAAUCACAGGUAUGCAAACGUCUUCCUUCAGCCAGUAACAGAUGAAAUUGCACCUGGGUACCACAGUAUUGUGCAGAGGCCCAUGGACCUCGCUGCCAUAAAAAAGAACAUCGAGACCGGUUCGACGCGGACCACCGCCGAGUUCCAGAGGGACAUCAUGCUGAUGUUUCAGAACGCGGUCAUGUACAACAGCCUGGAUCACGACGUGUACCACAUGGCCCUGGAGAUGCAGCGCGACGUCCUGGAGCAGAUCCAGCAGUUUCUGGCCACCCAGCUCAUCAUGGAAACAUCUGAGGGUGGCAUCAGCACCAAAAGCCUGAGGGGCCGUGACAACACACGCAAACAGGACUCUACUGACAAGGUGCUUCACUAGAAUUUUGACAAAAGCAGAGAGUACAGAAGAAGAGACAAGGGACACUGUCUCCAUGUCCUCUCCUGCCUUCCUUCUUUCUCUGUUUGAUGGAGGCACCAGAGGGCGCCGUUGUGCCAUAGAAGCUGACCUCAAGAUGAAGAAAUGAACAUACAGUGUGAAGAUUUUGUCCAACAGUCCCCGAGUUGAAGUGAAAGGUUUGAAAGACUGAAUUUAUUCUGUCAGUUGCACAGAUUCUCACUCUGCAUAAAAUGCAGUGUAACCUUUAUUUGCACUCUAGAUGAAAUGGAUAGACUGAAAUAUAAAGAAGCUCAUAUCCUCUGAGACAGCCAUAAAGACAUGGAUUACAAACUGUAUAAUCCCAGAUUACAAUGAGGCAGAAAGAAUAGGUCAUAGACAUAGCUGCAGAUCACUUAGACUUAGCCUGCUCUGAAUUACAUCAGGUUGUACAAAUGAAGAUAAAAGUUACUCCUAGCCUACAAAUUGGCUGCAAUGAAGCCCUCAUGAAGCCUGGUUGAAUUUAAGAUUAGUGUGGUUGAUUCUGAGAAACGUGACAUGUUGGUGAUAAUAUGUAAAACCAGUGGCCAAAGAGUCUGAUUAACCUACAAGUUUUCAUUACUGGUAUAAAAAUCAUUUGAGUUUUCUCAUUUUAAAAACAUUUUUAAAUAUGGCUGUAUUGUUUUGUGAUGAAUCGAUUUUAUCUAGGCUACACUUCCUGUGAAACGGUACCGACAUGCAUACUCUGAGUCAUUUUCAGUAUUUUUUAGAAAACGUCACGUUAUGAAACUGUUUUGUGGACUUUAAAAUGUUUAAACAAUAAAACUUCAUAAAGAGCCCUUAA
Sebastes umbrosus (honeycomb rockfish) is the source of this 3917-nucleotide RNA transcript. It is a transcript of the gene named bromodomain-containing protein 8-like, with no coding region annotated. The record is from RefSeq and is a predicted model, not a curated record. Lineage: Eukaryota; Metazoa; Chordata; Actinopteri; Perciformes; Sebastidae. The transcript has 20 exons.